RNAcentral lists this ribosomal RNA (584 nucleotides) under uncultured Bacteroidota bacterium. Its description in RNAcentral is "bacterial SSU rRNA". It matches the Rfam family "Bacterial small subunit ribosomal RNA", at positions 338 to 916 of the family's 1533-position model. The record is from RNAcentral. Lineage: Bacteria; Pseudomonadati; Bacteroidota.
CCUACGGGAGGCAGCAGGGGGGAAUUUUGGACAAUGGGCGCAAGCCUGAUCCAGCAAUGCCGCGUGCAGGAAGAAGGCCUUCGGGUUGUAAACUGCUUUUGUACGGAACGAAACGGCUCUGGUUAAUACCUGGGGCUAAUGACGGUACCGUAAGAAUAAGCACCGGCUAACUCCGUGCCAGCAGCCGCGGUAAUACGGAGGGUGCAAGCGUUAUCCGGACUUACUGGGUUUAAAGGGAGCGUAGGCGGGCAGUUAAGUCAGUGGUGAAAUCUCUGGGCUUAACCCGGAAACUGCCAUUGAUACUAUCUGUCUUGAAUAUUCUGGAGGUAAGCGGAAUAUGUCAUGUAGCGGUGAAAUGCUUAGAUAUGACAUAGAACACCCAUUGCGAAGGCAGCUUACUACGGAAUGAUUGACGCUGAGGCUCGAAAGCGUGGGGAUCAAACAGGAUUAGAUACCCUGGUAGUCCACGCCCUAAACGAUGAUUACUCGACAUUAGCGAUAUUACUGUUAGUGUCUAAGCGAAAGCAUUAAGUAAUCCACCUGGGAAGUACGACCGCAAGGUUGAAACUCAAAGGAAUUGACGG